RNAcentral lists this ribosomal RNA (356 nucleotides) under uncultured bacterium. RNAcentral describes it as "bacterial SSU rRNA". It matches the Rfam family "Bacterial small subunit ribosomal RNA", at positions 67 to 422 of the family's 1533-position model. The record is from RNAcentral.
UGAACUUGGAAGCUUGCUUCCGGGGGAUCAGUGGCGAACGGGUGAGUAACACGUGAGUAACCUGCCCCAGACUCUGGGAUAAGCGUUGGAAACGACGUCUAAUACCGGAUACGAGCUUCAGCCGCAUGGCUAGGAGCUGGAAAGAAUUUCGGUCUGGGAUGGACUCGCGGCCUAUCAGCUAGUUGGUGAGGUAACGGCCCACCAAGGCGACGACGGGUAGCCGGCCUGAGAGGGUGACCGGCCACACUGGGACUGAGACACGGCCCAGACUCCUACGGGAGGCAGCAGUGGGGAAUAUUGCACAAUGGGCGCAAGCCUGAUGCAGCAACGCCGCGUGAGGGACGACGGCCUUCGGG